Molecule: transfer RNA, 67 nt
Filed under: Metopina sagittata
Lineage: Eukaryota; Metazoa; Arthropoda; Insecta; Diptera; Phoridae
Description: tRNA-Ser
Source: RNAcentral
GAAGUAUGUCGGUCAAGAGAAAGCUGCUAACUUUUUUCUUAAAUGGUUUGACUCCAUUUAUACUUUG